AGAGUUUGAUCAUGGCUCAGAUUGAACGCUGGCGGCAGGCUUAACACAUGCAAGUCGAGCGGGGAAAGGUAGCUUGCUACUGGACCUAGCGGCGGACGGGUGAGUAAUGCUUAGGAAUCUGCCUAUUAGUGGGGGACAACAUUCCGAAAGGAAUGCUAAUACCGCAUACGCCCUACGGGGGAAAGCAGGGGAUCUUCGGACCUUGCGCUAAUAGAUGAGCCUAAGUCGGAUUAGCUAGUUGGUGGGGUAAAGGCCUACCAAGGCGACGAUCUGUAGCGGGUCUGAGAGUAUGAUCCGCCACACUGGGACUGAGACACGGCCCAGACUCCUACGGGAGGCAGCAGUGGGGAAUAUUGGACAAUGGGCGGAAGCCUGAUCCAGCCAUGCCGCGUGUGUGAAGAAGGCCUUUUGGUUGUAAAGCACUUUAAGCGAGGAGGAGGCUCCUUUAGUUAAUACCUAAAGUGAGUGGACGUUACUCGCAGAAUAAGCACCGGCUAACUCUGUGCCAGCAGCCGCGGUAAUACAGAGGGUGCGAGCGUUAAUCGGAUUUACUGGGCGUAAAGCGUGCGUAGGCGGCUUUUUAAGUCGGAUGUGAAAUCCCUGAGCUUAACUUAGGAAUUGCAUUCGAUACUGGAAAGCUAGAGUAUGGGAGAGGAUGGUAGAAUUCCAGGUGUAGCGGUGAAAUGCGUAGAGAUCUGGAGGAAUACCGAUGGCGAAGGCAGCCAUCUGGCCUAAUACUGACGCUGAGGUACGAAAGCAUGGGGAGCAAACAGGAUUAGAUACCCCGGUAGUCC
This 794-nucleotide ribosomal RNA is filed under the name uncultured bacterium. Its description in RNAcentral is "bacterial SSU rRNA". It matches the Rfam family "Bacterial small subunit ribosomal RNA", at positions 8 to 796 of the family's 1533-position model. The record is from RNAcentral.